RNAcentral lists this ribosomal RNA (907 nucleotides) under Calliacantha longicaudata. Its description in RNAcentral is "eukaryotic LSU rRNA". It matches the Rfam family "Eukaryotic large subunit ribosomal RNA", at positions 970 to 1878 of the family's 3401-position model. The record is from RNAcentral. Lineage: Eukaryota; Choanoflagellata; Acanthoecida; Stephanoecidae.
CCCUCAGGAUAGCUGGAACUUGAACAGUUUUAUCAGGUAAAGCGAAUGAUUAGAGGCCUUUGGCGCGAAACGCGCUAAACCUAUUCUCAAACUUUAAAUAGGUAAGAAGCCUUGCUUGCUUAAGUGAAGCAGGGCAUUGAAUGUGAGUUCCAUGUGGGCCAUUUUUGGUAAGCAGAACUGGCGAUGCGGGAUGAACCGAACGCGGGAGUUAAGGUGCCAAAAUCGACGCUCAUCAGACCCCAGAAAAGGUGUUGGUUGAUAUAGACAGCAGGACGGUGGCCAUGGAAGUCGGAACCCGCUAAGGAGUGUGUAACAACCCACCUGCCGAAUCAACUAGCCCUGAAAAUUGAUGGCGCUUGAGCGUCGUACCUAUACUCCGCCGUUGGCGCAAAUGCGAGGUGCCAACGAGUAGGUGGGCGUGGGGGUUGUGACGAAGCCUUGGGCGUAAGCCUGGGUUGAACGGCCUCUGGUGCAGAUCUUGGUGGUAGUAGCAAAUAUUCAAAUGAGAACUUUGAAGACUGAAGUGGAGAAAGGUUCCAUGUGAACAGCAGUUGGACAUGGGUUAGUCGAUCCUAAGAGAUAGGGGAACUCCGUUUUAACGCGCGCGAUUUGUUUCGCGCCGCCUAUCGAAAGGGAAUCGGGUUAAUAUUCCCGAACCGGGCUGGGGAUGUGCGGUGACGCGAAUGAACUUGGAGACGCCGGCGUGAGCCCUGGAAAGAGUUCUCUUUUCUUUUUAACGCGCUAUGACCCUGAAAUCAGCUUAUCUGGAGAUAGGGAUUAGGGCGCGGUAAAGCACGAUACUUCUUGUCGUGUCCGGUGCGCUUGCGACGGCCCGUGAAAAUCCAAGGGAAGGUUUUGUUUCCCAUCCGGUCGUACUCAUAACCGCAGCAGGUCUCCUAGGUUAACA